This 353-nucleotide ribosomal RNA is filed under the name Phaenocora sp. n. NVS-2013. RNAcentral's name for it is "SSU rRNA". It matches the Rfam family "Eukaryotic small subunit ribosomal RNA", at positions 594 to 945 of the family's 1831-position model. Lineage: Eukaryota; Metazoa; Platyhelminthes; Rhabdocoela; Typhloplanidae. The record is from RNAcentral.
AUAGCGUAUACUAAAGUUGUUGCAGUUAAAAAGCUCGUAGUUGGAUCUGAGGUGGGAGUCGUCGGUACAGCUUGCGCUGCGACUGUAUGUACUCUACCUUACACAGUCAUUAGACGCUCUGUGGUGCUCUUUACUGAGUGCUGCGGAGUGCAUGGCACGUUUACUUUGAAAAAAUUAAAGUGCUCAAAGCAGGCUUUGUAGCUUGUAUACUCUUGCAUGGAAUAAUGGAAUAGGACUUCGGUUCUAUUUUGUUGGUUUUCGGACCCGGAGUAAUGAUUAAAAGAGACUGCCGGGGGCAUAUGUAUGGUGGCGUUAGAGGUGAAAUUCUUGGAUCGCCGCCAGACAGUCUACUG